UACAGAGGUCUCAAGCGUUGUUCGGAAUCACUGGGCGUAAAGGGUGUGUAGGUGGCGUGGUAAGUCAGAUGUGAAAGCCCGGGGCUCAACCUCGGAAUUGCAUCCGAUACUGCUAUGCUAGAGUAUUGAAGGGGAGUCUAGAAUUCACGGUGUAGCAGUGAAAUGCGUAGAUAUCGUGAGGAAUACCAAAGGCGAAGGCAGGACUCUGGGCAAUUACUGACACUGAGACACGAAGGCUAGGGGAGCAAACGGG
Molecule: ribosomal RNA, 253 nt
Filed under: uncultured bacterium
Lineage: Bacteria
Description: partial 16S ribosomal RNA
Rfam family: Bacterial small subunit ribosomal RNA
Source: RNAcentral